This 84-nucleotide transfer RNA is filed under the name Chloroflexota bacterium. RNAcentral describes it as "Chloroflexi bacterium tRNA-Ser". It matches the Rfam family "tRNA". From Rfam's summary of the family: Transfer RNA (tRNA) molecules are approximately 80 nucleotides in length. Lineage: Bacteria; Bacillati; Chloroflexota. The record is from RNAcentral. RNAcentral also lists the same sequence under 1 other name.
GGAGAGGUCGCCUAGUUGGCCUAGGGCGCGGACCUGGAAAGUCCGUAAGCGAAAGCUUCGUGGGUUCGAAUCCCACCCUCUCCG